GCGGACGUGGUGCAUGGUACACAGCUGCCUUCCGUAAAAAAGGUACGAACGAUUGAAGCAGUGAGCCGGGGUUCGAUUCCCCGCGUCCGCA
Molecule: non-coding RNA, 91 nt
Organism: Mycena latifolia
Lineage: Eukaryota; Fungi; Basidiomycota; Agaricomycetes; Agaricales; Mycenaceae
Source: the annotation of a GenBank genome assembly